CCUACGGGAGGCAGCAGUGGGGAAUAUUGCACAAUGGGGGAAACCCUGAUGCAGCGACGCCGCGUGAGUGAAGAAGGACUUCGGUAUGUAAAGCUCUAUCAGCAGGGAAGAAGAAAGACGGUACCUGACUAAGAAGCCCCGGCGAACUACGUGCCAGCAGCCGCGGUAAUACGUAGGGGGCAAGCGUUAUCCGGAUUUACUGGGUGUAAAGGGAGCGUAGACGGCUGUGCAAGUCUGAAGUGAAAGCCCAGGGCUCAACCCUGGGACUGCUUUGGAAACUGUGGAGCUAGAGUGCUGGAGAGGUAAGUGGAAUUCCUGGUGUAGCGGUGAAAUGCGUAGAUAUUAGGAGGAACACCAGUGGCGAAGGCGGCUUACUGGACCGUAACUGACGUUGAGGCUCGAAAGCGUGGGGAGCGAACAGGAUUAGAUACCCUUGUAGUC
RNAcentral lists this ribosomal RNA (441 nucleotides) under uncultured bacterium. Its description in RNAcentral is "partial 16S ribosomal RNA". It matches the Rfam family "Bacterial small subunit ribosomal RNA", at positions 338 to 795 of the family's 1533-position model. The record is from RNAcentral.